Phragmites australis (common reed) is the source of this 3188-nucleotide RNA transcript. It is a transcript of the gene named SART-1 family protein DOT2-like, with no coding region annotated. The transcript has 14 exons. Lineage: Eukaryota; Viridiplantae; Streptophyta; Magnoliopsida; Poales; Poaceae. The record is from RefSeq and is a predicted model, not a curated record.
UUUUCUUACAGAAAACACCCUCGCAAUCGCGCCGUAUCGUGCAACCCUUCCCCGCUCCGUCUCCUCCCUCCCUCCCAACUCGCUCGGGCGCGGCGGCCGGCGCUCUCGACGCCCAGGGCUCGCUCGCUCCUUCUCGCCGAUCGCCUCCCGGGGAGAAAAGCGGGCUGAUAUCCCGUGCUGAUUUCGAGUUUGUGGCCAUGGGGGCUGCCGGCGACGCGAGGGAUGCGGCUGUGGACGAGAUGGAGGUGGACGGUGGUGAGCGACACCGGGACAAGGAGAGGAGGGAGAGGCACAGGAGGGAGGAGAAGGAUCAUCAUGGUAGUGGCAGAAGGGACAGGGAUAGAGAGAAGGAUAAGGACGAUAGGAGGAGGGAGAAGGAUGAUAGCAAGCAUAGGGAUAGAGAAAGGGAUAGGGAUAAGGAUAAGGAUAGGGAGAGAGACAGGGAUAAGGAUAGCAAGCACAGGGAUAGGGAUAAGGAGCCAGAGCGCGACCGCGGUCGUGACCGAGGCAAGGACCGGGAGAGAGAACCGGAGCGGCUGAGGGAUAGAGACCGAGGCAAAGAUCGUGAGAGGGAUCCAGAGCGGGAGCGAGAUAAGGAAAGGGAACGAAGGGACAGGGACAAGGAGAGGAGCCGCAACAGAGACAAGGACAAGGAUAGGGUGGAGAGAGGAGAGAGGGAGGAUCGGGAGCGUGAGAAAUCGAGGGGGAAGGGAAGCGGAGAAGAUGCUGCCGAUCUGUCGAAGGGCAACGAGGAGGAUCAGAAGCAGAGAGUUGAUGCCUCAGGGGAGGCUGAGCAGCCGUCAACAGCUGAGCUCAGAGAGCGCAUUGUGAGGGCGAAGGAAGAAAGGCUGAAGGAUAAAAAGGAAGGAGGAGUACUGGAUGGUAAUGAUGAGGCUUCUGAGAUAUUGUCAUGGGUGGGAAAGAGCCGUAAACUUGAUGAAAAAAGGCAAGCUGAAAACGAGAAAGCAUUACGUCUUGCACGAGCAUUUGAGGAACAGGAUAACAUCUUAGCAGAAAAUGGCGAUGAUGACGACGAGGAAGAGGAAGAUAAACAUGGUGGAGACCAUUUAUCUGGCGUUAAGGUUCUUCAUGGCCUUGAUAAGGUGUUGGAAGGUGGUGCAGUUGUCAUGACUCUCAAAGAUCAGAGUAUCCUUGCCGAUGGGGAUAUCAAUGAAGAGGCUGAUAUGCUUGAGAACAUUGAGAUUGGCGAGCAGAAACAAAGAGACGAAGCUUAUAAGGCUGCAAAGAAGAAAGAAACAUAUGAUGACAAGUUCAAUGAGGACUCAUUGUCAAAGAAACCCAUGCUCUCACAUUAUGAUGACCCAAUGGACGAUGAGGGAGUGACACUUGAUGAAGGUGGACGCUUCACCGGUGAAGCAGAAAGGAAGCUAGAAGAGCUCCGGAAAAGAAUUGAAGGUGGUUACGUCCAGAAAAAGACAGAAGACCUUACAUCCACAACAAAGAUGUCAACAGACUAUUUUACCCCUGAUGAAAUGGUUCAAUUUAAAAAACCAAAGAAAAAGAAGUCCCUUAGAAAGAAAGAGAAACUGGAUCUGGAUGUGCUUGAAGCAGAAGCAAUUGCUGCUGGAUUGGGGGCAGCUGAUCUUGGGUCCAGGAAUGAUGCAAAGAGACAGUCUGCUAGGGAGGAAGAGCAAAAGGCUGAUGCUGAAAAGAGAAGCAGUGCAUAUCAAGCUGCCAUUGCAAAGGCUGAAGAGGCAUCGAAAGCAUUGCGUCAGGAGAAAACUAAGCCUGGCAAAACACCUGAAGAAGAACUCGUUUUUGGUGAGGACUAUGAAGAUCUGCAGAAAUCUCUGGAGCAAGCAAGGAAGUUAGCUCUAAGGAAGCAGGAAGAGGCUGCCGCUUCUGGCCCUCUGGCUGUAGCUGAUCUGGCUACUGCAACCAAGGGCCGAGAAAAUGCAGAUGCCGCUGAAGGAGAUGCUCAAGAGAAUAAGGUUAUUAUCACAGAGAUGGAAGAGUUUGUGUGGGGCCUACAAUUGAAUGAAGAAUCACGGAGGCCAGAAGCAAAUGAUGUGUUUAUGGAUGAAGAUGAUGAUGCAAUGCCUUCAGAUAAUGUUGCAAAAGAUGACACAAAUGGGUUGGUAGCGAUGAAAGAGGAAGCGCACAUUCAAAGCCCAGGAAAAAUUGGCGAGGAAGAAGCCAGACCUGAUGAGGUUAUACAUGAAGUCGCGGUCGGUAAGGGUUUAUCUGGUGCUUUGAAGCUUCUUAAGGAGCGAGGAACCCUCAAUGAGGGCACGGAUUGGGGAGGCAGAACUACAGACAAGAAAAAGAGCAAGCUUGUUGGUAUUGAGGAUGGACCUAAAGAAAUUCGCAUCGAAAGAAUGGAUGAAUUUGGUCGAGUGAUGACACCUAAGGAGGCAUUUCGGGAUCUUUCACACAAAUUCCAUGGCAAGGGGCCAGGAAAAAUGAAACAAGAAAAACGCCAGAAGAAAUUCCAGGAUGAGUUGAAAACCAAGCGAAUGAAAUCUUCUGACACACCUUUAAUGGCCGCGGAAAAGAUGAGAGAGGCUCAAGCUCGUAGCCAAACACCAUACCUUAUUUUAAGUGGCAAUGCAAAAACAAGUCAAGCAAGUGACGCUAGUGGCUUUGCUACCAUGGAGAAAGAGCAUCCUGGGAGCCUGACGCCCAUGCUUGGGGACAAAAAAGUGGAACACUUUCUGGGCAUCAAACGAAGUGCCCAGCCUGGAAGCUUACCUCCACCAGUUCCAAAGAAGCCGAAGAAGUGAACCUGCAGUGGCCUCAACUGCGAGUAGCAGUCAGUGGUACCCUUUUAGCUCAUCUGCUGCUGCAGGCUUGGAGCAGAUUUUGUUUGAGUCGCCGACAGCAAGAACAGCACCAGAUGCCAAAACCACAUGCCGAAGCCCCGAUGCCACUGAAAAUUGCAGGCAUUACAAUACGCCGUCUCGGUGGUCGUUGGAAAUCUAACGCGGAUCUACUUGCGGAUCUGAAUGAAAGCUGAUCAAGCCCCCCGGCGAUAAUAAAUAAAGCUUUGCACAACUGGUUGAUAGCGGCCGGCGCAAAAGGUGUCGUGCAUAUCUGUCAGUGCUCUCUUAACGGUUUCCAGUUGCUUGGGAAAGCGUCAUCUGCAGGCAGACAGUGUAUUGUGUGGCAUAGUAAUAAGCGUUGGUAUUAAAGAGGAUAAGCCCGCCGACGACGCCGGGUGUUGUGCU